This 263-nucleotide ribosomal RNA is filed under the name uncultured bacterium. Its description in RNAcentral is "partial 16S ribosomal RNA". It matches the Rfam family "Bacterial small subunit ribosomal RNA", at positions 524 to 787 of the family's 1533-position model. The record is from RNAcentral.
UACAUGUGGGGCAAGCGUUGUUCGGAUUUACUGGGCGUAAAGGGCGCGUAGGCGGCCUCUGCAAGUCGACUGUGAAAUCUCCGGGCUUAACCCGGAAAGGUCAGCCGAUACUGCAGGGCUAGAGUGCAGAAGGGGCAACUGGAAUUCCCGGUGUAGCGGUGAAAUGCGCAGAUAUCGGGAGGAACACCAGUGGCGAAAGCGGCUUCCUGGUCCAGCACCGACGUCAGGCACGAAAGCGUGGGGAGCAACAGGAUGAGAUACCC